UACGUAGGGUGCGAGCGUUAAUCGGAAUUACUGGGCGUAAAGGGUGCGCAGGCGGCGUCGCAAGUCAGGCGUGAAAUCCCCGGGCUUAACCUGGGAACUGCACUUGAAACUACGAUGCUGGAGUAUGGCAGAGGGAGGUGGAAUUCCACGUGUAGCGGUGAAAUGCGUAGAUAUUCGCAAGAACACCAGUGGCGAAGGCGGCUCACUGGCCCGGUACUGACGCUGAGGUGCGAAAGCGUGGGGAGCAAACAGG
This 253-nucleotide ribosomal RNA is filed under the name uncultured bacterium. RNAcentral's name for it is "partial 16S ribosomal RNA". It matches the Rfam family "Bacterial small subunit ribosomal RNA", at positions 524 to 776 of the family's 1533-position model. The record is from RNAcentral.